This 254-nucleotide ribosomal RNA is filed under the name uncultured bacterium. RNAcentral describes it as "partial 16S ribosomal RNA". It matches the Rfam family "Bacterial small subunit ribosomal RNA", at positions 524 to 776 of the family's 1533-position model. The record is from RNAcentral.
GACGAACCGUGCGAACGUUAUUCGGAAUCACUGGGCUUAAAGCGCGUGUAGGCGGAUGGGGACGUCGGUCGCUGAAAUCCCCCGGCUCAACCGGGGAACGGACGCCGAAACGCCCCGUCUGGAGGGACGUAGGGGGACCUGGAACUUCCGGUGGAGCGGUGAAAUGCGUUGAGAUCGGAAGGAACGCCCGUGGCGAAAGCGAGGUCCUGGACGUCUUCUGACGCUGAGACGCGAAAGCUAGGGGAGCGAACGGA